Aegilops tauschii subsp. strangulata is the source of this 442-nucleotide long non-coding RNA. RefSeq lists it as uncharacterized. The record is from RefSeq and is a predicted model, not a curated record. Lineage: Eukaryota; Viridiplantae; Streptophyta; Magnoliopsida; Poales; Poaceae.
AGAUCUCAUCUUUCCAUCCUAUAUAUUUUGGUGUAGCCUAUUUUGUUGUGCCUCUUUCUUAUAUUGCUUUGCCUUUGUGACUGUUUAUUCUUGAAGACACGGGACGCGUCAAGGUGCCAACUAUGACAUUCCUUCUACUACUCAUUCCACUUCUUUUAGUUCCUGGCUCACAGGCCAAGAUAUGUAGAGUAUACAGCCAGAGCUAUACCAUCCCUUUAUGCAAGCCGGGUCCAUGUGCUGAGGCAUGCCACAAGGAGGGGUUUCCAGAAGGGAGAUGUUACAUAUUAGGCGUGAUACCCCUUAUAAUCUUUUGUGUGUGUGAAAAACAGUGGUGAAUAAAACAUGGCGCAACUCUCACAGGAUGUGUGGUGUAAUAAGUAAUAAGGUUGUGUUGUAUGAUGAAGUAACAUUGACACUUGGCAAAAGUUGAGCCUCUUCCAUA